AAAGACGGUCUUGCUGUCACUUAUAGAUGGAUCCGCGCUGCAUUAGCUAGUUGGUAAGGUAACGGCUUACCAAGGCAACGAUGCAUAGCCGACCUGAGAGGGUGAUCGGCCACACUGGAACUGAGACACGGUCCAGACUCCUACGGGAGGCAGCAGUAGGGAAUCUUCCGCAAUGGGCGAAAGCCUGACGGAGCAACGCCGCGUGAGUGAUGAAGGUCUUCGGAUCGUAAAACUCUGUUAUUAGGGAAGAACAUAUGUGUAAGUAACUGUGCACAUCUUGACGGUACCUAAUCAGAAAGCCACGGCUAACUACGUGCCAGCAGCCGCGGUAAUACGUAGGUGGCAAGCGUUAUCCGGAAUUAUUGGGCGUAAAGCGCGCGUAGGCGGUUUUUUAAGUCUGAUGUGAAAGCCCACGGCUCAACCGUGGAGGGUCAUUGGAAACUGGAAAACUUGAGUGCAGAAGAGGAAAGUGGAAUUCCAUGUGUAGCGGUGAAAUGCGCAGAGAUAUGGAGGAACACCAGUGGCGAAGGCGACUUUCUGGUCUGUAACUGACGCUGAUGUGCGAAAGCGUGGGGAUCAAACAGGAUUAGAUACCCUGGUAGUCCACGCCGUAAACGAUGAGUGCUAAGUGUUAGGGGGUUUCCGCCCCUUAGUGCUGCAGCUAACGCAUUAAGCACUCCGCCUGGGGAGUACGACCGCAAGGUUGAAACUCAAAGGAAUUGACGGGGACCCGCACAAGCGGUGGAGCAUGUGGUUUAAUUCGAAGCAACGCGAAGAACCUUACCAAAUCUUGACAUCCUUUGACAACUCUAGAGAUAGAGCCUUCCCCUUCGGGGGACAAAGUGACAGGUGGUGCAUGGUUGUCGUCAGCUCGUGUCGUGAGAUGUUGGGUUAAGUCCCGCAACGAGCGCAACCCUUAAGCUUAGUUGCCAUCAUUAAGUUGGGCACUCUAAGUUGACUGCCGGUGACAAACCGGAGGAAGGUGGGGAUGACGUCAAAUCAUCAUGCCCCUUAUGAUUUGGGCUACACACGUGCUACAAUGGACAAUACAAAGGGCAGCGAAACCGCGAGGUCAAGCAAAUCCCAUAAAGUUGUUCUCAGUUCGGAUUGUAGUCUGCAACUCGACUACAUGAAGCUGGAAUCGCUAGUAAUCGUAGAUCAGCAUGCUACGGUGAAUACGUUCCCGGGUCUUGUACACACCGCCCGUCACACCACGAGAGUUUGUAACACCCGAAGCCGGUGGAGUAACCUUUUAGGAGCUAGCCGUCGAAGGUGGGACAAAUGAUUGGGGUGAAGUCGUAACAAGGUAGCCGUAUCGGAAGGUGCGGCUG
This 1331-nucleotide ribosomal RNA is filed under the name Staphylococcus aureus. RNAcentral describes it as "bacterial SSU rRNA". It matches the Rfam family "Bacterial small subunit ribosomal RNA", at positions 202 to 1520 of the family's 1533-position model. Lineage: Bacteria; Bacillati; Bacillota; Bacilli; Caryophanales; Staphylococcaceae. The record is from RNAcentral.